UAGAAUUUAUAACCUGAGUUUUGUCACUUUGUUGGCUCAAAAGAGAGAGGUCCAAGUCCAAUAUUUUUCUGUUAUAUUUUAUUUAUUUAUUUAUUUUUCACUUUUUUUUUUCGAAACGCGUGGGCUUCGCCUAGCGAGCAUGACAGUUCAUCAAAAAACUUUUGCUCCUUCAAGAUUAACAUUUUGAAUGAUGAACAGACCCCAUUUGAACAUGUUGGAAGUAACUCAAGUCAUUCCCUUGUGUCGACUGAUCACCCAAAUAGAACCCGCAAAGUGUCUUGGAUGAUAUUCAAACUUCUUAGAUCUAAUUCCGAUUGACAUGAUGAAAUGCAAUAUGAAAUGUUAAAUGACCUAAAAAU
Molecule: long non-coding RNA, 359 nt
Filed under: Lathyrus oleraceus (garden pea)
Lineage: Eukaryota; Viridiplantae; Streptophyta; Magnoliopsida; Fabales; Fabaceae
Description: Pisum sativum (pea) long non-coding RNA (PSAT_LNC011921)
Source: RNAcentral